AGUAACGGCGAGUGAAGCGGCAACAGCUCAAAUUUGAAAUCUGGCCUCUUUGGGGUCCGAGUUGUAAUUUGUAGAGGAUGUUUCGGGUACCGCCUCGGUUUAAAUUUCUUGGAACAGAAUGUCAGAGAGGGUGAGAAUCCCGUCUUGGACCGGCGGUAGGGCCCAUGUGAAACUCCUUCGACGAGUCGAGUUGUUUGGG
This 199-nucleotide ribosomal RNA is filed under the name Exophiala spinifera. RNAcentral describes it as "partial large subunit ribosomal RNA". It matches the Rfam family "Eukaryotic large subunit ribosomal RNA", at positions 82 to 278 of the family's 3401-position model. The record is from RNAcentral. Lineage: Eukaryota; Fungi; Ascomycota; Eurotiomycetes; Chaetothyriales; Herpotrichiellaceae.